Molecule: ribosomal RNA, 465 nt
Filed under: Vreelandella stevensii
Lineage: Bacteria; Pseudomonadati; Pseudomonadota; Gammaproteobacteria; Oceanospirillales; Halomonadaceae
Description: partial 16S ribosomal RNA
Rfam family: Bacterial small subunit ribosomal RNA
Source: RNAcentral
CCUACGGGGGGCUGCAGUGGGGAAUAUUGGACAAUGGGGGCAACCCUGAUCCAGCCAUGCCGCGUGUGUGAAGAAGGCCCUCGGGUUGUAAAGCACUUUCAGUGAGGAAGAACGCCUGGUGGUUAAUACCCAUCAGGAAAGACAUCACUCACAGAAGAAGCACCGGCUAACUCCGUGCCAGCAGCCGCGGUAAUACGGAGGGUGCGAGCGUUAAUCGGAAUUACUGGGCGUAAAGCGCGCGUAGGUGGCUUGAUAAGCCGGUUGUGAAAGCCCCGGGCUCAACCUGGGAACGGCAUCCGGAACUGUCAAGCUAGAGUGCAGGAGAGGAAGGUAGAAUUCCCGGUGUAGCGGUGAAAUGCGUAGAGAUCGGGAGGAAUACCAGUGGCGAAGGCGGCCUUCUGGACUGACACUGACACUGAGGUGCGAAAGCGUGGGUAGCAAACUGGAUUAGAUACCCUUGUAGUC